Non-coding RNA from Paramisgurnus dabryanus, 2043 nucleotides. The record is from RefSeq and is a predicted model, not a curated record. Lineage: Eukaryota; Metazoa; Chordata; Actinopteri; Cypriniformes; Cobitidae.
AUUUCUACACUAAAUUUAAGCUAAUUGGCUCAGUAUAUGUGCCAGUUAAGACUUUUCAGUGCUGUUUUUCUACAGUCAGCAGAUUUGGGCCAGAUCCACUUACCACAUCAGAACCAAAGCUUCCAGAAAGACAGUUCCCUGAUGUGGCCCACAUCUGUAAUAUUGACCCAAACCACCUCCAAACUUGUGUGUCCCACUCUGGUUUACUGAACAGAGCCGAACGCGCGAAGUGAGUGAGGUCCGUCCGUUUGAGAGACGUUAUGCUGAUCUGGCCCUCAUCCGUACCACGGAUUAUAGCCAGAAACCGUUGGAAUAGAUCAAAUGAAACUUUUGUGGGGGUGCCCAUGCCAUAUUUCGUUAUUAAAUCCUGAUUUGUUAAAUCUUACAAUGGAACACUUGCACGUAGCCUACACAAAAAUGAUUAAUUCACUAACAAAGUAAUAGGCUUGUCUCAAAAUGGAAGAUUUACCACAUAACAAAAUAAUACAUUAGCAACUGUCCACUAUCCAAGUGCAAUGGUCCAAGCUGUAUUGCCAUCCUGGGAAGAAAAAAAGUUGCGAACAUCGUGGGAAAAAACGGCACUGGCGCACAUAAUGGAUGGCAGCAUGGGUACGUAUAUUGAUUUUUUAAUACUAUAUUUCGUUGGCAAUGGUGUGAUUAUGGUGAAUAUAGUGUUAUGGGACUGCAAGUUUCUGCUUUAAGUUUUAAUUUGCCCCAGGGGCGGUUCUAGACCCUUUUAAGUGGGGCUCCAGCCACCCUGCCGUCAUCUUAGCCCCCCUAAAAUUAGUCUUAAUAUUUCUACCAAACUAUCAAAUAUAUUUUUCUGAAGUUUUAUUUAUUUGUAAAAACAAUUAAUUCGAAGAUAAUUAUUAAAAAAACGCAAAAUGCAAGACAUUUAGAAAAAAAUUACGAGUUUAUGAGGCAUUUGAUUAGCUUUGCUGUUCUGCGCAUGCGUCGUAACCGUCAGUGGAGGAGAGCUCGAGCGCCUGUGCUUCAGGUCACACAGAGGGAGCAGUUGUUUCAUAAAAUAUCCAGCGUGGAAGCUCAGAAGGUGCAUUUACAGUCCAUCAUGACAUAAAAAAUCCUCUGCAUGCAACCACGAGGAGAGGGGGAAUUUACUAAGGAGUUUUGUCUAUAUAUUAUAUAAAAUCUACUGUUGGGAAGAGCAGAACCUAAUCCAAAUAAAAAUAAACAAGCUGUUAAAAGCCAGUUGAAGGUGGUCAACACAAACCAAAUGAAGAUGUUGCACAUUCCACAAACAAUAAAAAAGAAGAUCAAGUUUUGUGUCCAACACACUUGGAUGAGACGUGCCCGACCCCUGACUUUGUCUACCCUACAUUAAGUUGUGAUGGCACACUUCAUGACAGUAAACAUUGGUAUCAAGAUGAUGUGAUUGAUCUAUACCCUAGAAUAAGCUGUGACACUAUGAGACGGUGACAUAAUGAACAGCCAUCUUCCAGACAACCGAAACAGUAUUGUCUACAAUACCAAAUUCUGGAUUGACGCCCCAGUACCAGAAGGCACUCCAAUCCCAGAGAGCAUCCCAUUGUGAGGUAACACAACAAAAAAAUAACAGGAUGGAGACUACCUGAUUCUUCACCUAUGGCAUUAGCUUCAAAUGCAAGAAGUCCAGCAACUUUCUGAGCUGGUGGAUAUUCUAUCAGAGACUGCAUGAACAACGUUAUGAACAGAAUGAUGUCUAAUUGUCUUAUGGCAAAGUUCAAUAUGAGGGGUGGUGGACAUCUGGAAAAUAAGUCUUUUAAAGGCACACCUUUGUAUUAUGUUAUUCAAGGUAAUUUGGGGAAUAUGUUGAUCUAAAAAAAACUCUUGUUCUUGUAUAUUGAUGUAAUUUUUAUUACUAUGAUUUAUGUAUUUAGGGGACAUCACAGCUCACCUGUCUUUAUCAGAAAUAUCCUGUUCAUUUUUUGACAGUUACACACCUAGUUUAGGGUCUUUCUCAAGGGCACCACAGUGGGAUUGAAGAGCAAGGGUACAAAUGCUGUUGGUCUCACAACUGAUCUAACACUUAUUUAAAGCAUAACA